AGAGUUUGAUCAUGGCUCAGGAUGAACGCUGGCGGUGUGGAUAAGGCAUGCAAGUCGAGCGGGUUUAGACCCGCGGCAAACGGGCUAGUAACACGUGGGAAUCUACCCUAGAGUCGUGAAUAACCAUUUGAAAAGAUGAGUAAUACACGAUGUACUCUCCGGAGUAAAGAUUUAUCGCUCUAGGAGGAGCCCGCGUCCUAUCAGCUUGUUGGUGAGGUAAAAGCUCACCAAGGCAAUGACGGGUAGGGGGUGUGAGAGCAUGGCCCCCAGCAUUGGCACUGAGACACUGGCCAAACUCCUACGGGAGGCUGCAGUCGAGAAUAUUCCACAAUGGGGGAAACCCUGAUGGAGCGACACCGCGUGCGGGAUGAAGGCCUUAGGGUCGUAAACCGCUUUUAUUAGGGAUCAAUGUACUGAGCGUACCUAAUGAAUAAGAGGUUACUAACUCUGUGCCAGCAGUAGCGGUAAUACAGAGACCUCAAGCGUUAUCCGGAUUUAUUGGGCGUAAAGCGUAUGUAGGCGGACACGUUAGUCGUGGGUCAAAUUUCAGAGCUCAACUCUGAAGCUGCUCGCGAAACGGCAUGUCUAGAGAAAGUGAGAGAUGACUGGAACUCAUGGUGUAGUAGUGAAAUGCGUUGAUAUCAUGGGGAACACCAAAGGCGAAGGCAGGUCAUUGGCACUUUUCUGACGCUGAGAUACGAAAGCGUGGGUAGCGAAUGGGAUUAGAUA
RNAcentral lists this ribosomal RNA (729 nucleotides) under uncultured bacterium. RNAcentral's name for it is "bacterial SSU rRNA". It matches the Rfam family "Bacterial small subunit ribosomal RNA", at positions 8 to 784 of the family's 1533-position model. The record is from RNAcentral.